Molecule: ribosomal RNA, 253 nt
Filed under: uncultured bacterium
Lineage: Bacteria
Description: partial 16S ribosomal RNA
Rfam family: Bacterial small subunit ribosomal RNA
Source: RNAcentral
UACGUAGGGUCCGAGCGUUGUUCGGAAUUACUGGGCGUAAAGGGCUCGUAGGCGGCCAACUAAGUCAUACGUGAAAUCCCUCGGCUUAACCGGGGAACUGCGUCUGAUACUGGAUGGCUUGAGUUCGGGAGAGGGAUGCGGAAUUCCAGGUGUAGCGGUGAAAUGCGUAGAUAUCUGGAGGAACACCGGUGGCGAAGGCGGCAUCCUGGACCGACACUGACGCUGAGGAGCGAAAGCUAGGGGAGCAAACGGG